GACGAACGCUGGCGGCGUGCCUAAUACAUGCAAGUAGAACGCUGAAGCGAGGAGCUUGCUCUUCUUUGAUGAGUUGCGAACGGGUGAGUAACGCGUAGGUAACCUGCCUUGUAGCGGGGGAUAACUAUUGGAAACGAUAGCUAAUACCGCAUAACCAUGGAUGACACCUGUCAUUUAUUUGAAAGGGGCAAUUGCUCCACUACAAGAUGGACCUGCGUUGUAUUAGCUAGUAGGUGAGGUAAUGGCUCACCUAGGCGACGAUACAUAGCCGACCUGAGAGGGUGAUCGGCCACACUGGGACUGAGACACGGCCCAGACUCCUACGGGAGGCAGCAGUAGGGAAUCUUCGGCAAUGGGGGCAACCCUGACCGAGAAACGCCGCGUGAGUGAAGAAGAUUGUCGGAUCGUAAAGCUCUGUUGUAAGUCAAGAACGGGUGUGAGAGUGGAAAGUUCACACUGUGACGGUAGCUUACCAGAAAGGGACGGCUAACUACGUG
RNAcentral lists this ribosomal RNA (497 nucleotides) under uncultured bacterium. RNAcentral's name for it is "partial 16S ribosomal RNA". It matches the Rfam family "Bacterial small subunit ribosomal RNA", at positions 28 to 507 of the family's 1533-position model. The record is from RNAcentral.